RNAcentral lists this ribosomal RNA (497 nucleotides) under uncultured bacterium. Its description in RNAcentral is "partial 16S ribosomal RNA". It matches the Rfam family "Bacterial small subunit ribosomal RNA", at positions 28 to 507 of the family's 1533-position model. The record is from RNAcentral.
GAUGAACGCUGGCGGCGUGCCUAACACAUGCAAGUCGAGCGAACGGACGAGACGUUUGUUUCUCUGACGUUUGCGGAGCACGGGUGAGUAACACGUGGAUAAUCUACCUAUAAGACUGGUAUAACUUCGGAACACCGGAGCUUAUACCGGAUAAUAUUUUGAAGCGCAUGGUUCAAAAGUGAAAGACGGUCUUGCUGUCACUACUAGAUGGAUCCGCGCUGCAUUAGCUAGUUGGGAAGGUAAAGGCUUACCACGGCGAGGAUGCAUAGCCGACGUGAGAGGGUGAUCGGCCGCACUGGAACGUGAACACGGUCCAGAGGCCUACGGUAGGCACCAGUAGGGAAUCUGCCGCAGUGGGGGAAAGCCUGACGGAGCGAGCCCGCGCGAGUUGUGACGGUCUUCGGAUCGUAAAACUCUGUUAUUAGGGAAGAACAUAUUUCGAAGGAGCUGUACACAUCGUGACGGUACCUAGUCAGAAAGCCACGGCUAACUACGUG